RNAcentral lists this ribosomal RNA (485 nucleotides) under uncultured bacterium. RNAcentral describes it as "partial 16S ribosomal RNA". It matches the Rfam family "Bacterial small subunit ribosomal RNA", at positions 28 to 523 of the family's 1533-position model. The record is from RNAcentral.
GACGAACGCUGGCGGCGUGCUUAACACAUGCAAGUCGAACGGUGAAAGCGGAGCUUGCUCCGCUGGAUCAGUGGCGAACGGGUGAGUAACACGUGGGCAACCUGCCCCUCACUUCGGGAUAACUCCGGGAAACCGGGGCUAAUACCGGAUAUGACCUCCUUGGGCAUCCUUGGAGGUGGAAAGUUUUUCGGUGAGGGAUGGGCCCGCGGCCUAUCAGCUUGUUGGUGAGGUAGUGGCUCACCAAGGCGACGACGGGUAGCCGGCCUGAGAGGGCGACAGGCCACACUGGGACUGAGACACGGCCCAGACUCCUACGGGAGGCAGCAGUGGGGAAUAUUGCGCAAUGGGCGAAAGCCUGACGCAGCAACGCCGCGUGCGGGAUGACGGCCUUCGGGUUGUAAACCGCUUUCAGCAGGGAAGAAGCCGCAAGGUGACGGUACCUGCAGAAGAAGCACCGGCUAACUACGUGCCAGCCGCCGGCGUAA